This 492-nucleotide ribosomal RNA is filed under the name uncultured bacterium. RNAcentral describes it as "partial 16S ribosomal RNA". It matches the Rfam family "Bacterial small subunit ribosomal RNA", at positions 29 to 507 of the family's 1533-position model. The record is from RNAcentral.
AGUGAACGCUGGCGGUAGUCCUAACACAUGCAAGUCGAACGGCAGCACAGUAAGAGCUUGCUCUUACGGGUGGCGAGUGGCGGACGGGUGAGGAAUACAUCGGAAUCUACUUUUUCGUGGGGGAUAACGUAGGGAAACUUACGCUAAUACCGCAUACGACCUACGGGUGAAAGCAGGGGAUCUUCGGACCUUGCGCGAUUGAAUGAGCCGAUGUCGGAUUAGCUAGUUGGCGGGGUAAAGGCCCACCAAGGCGACGAUCCGUAGCUGGUCUGAGAGGAUGAUCAGCCACACUGGAACUGAGACACGGUCCAGACUCCUACGGGAGGCAGCAGUGGGGAAUAUUGGACAAUGGGCGCAAGCCUGAUCCAGCCAUACCGCGUGGGUGAAGAAGGCCUUCGGGUUGUAAAGCCCUUUUGUUGGGAAAGAAAAGCAGCAGGUUAAUACCCCGCUGUUCUGACGGUACCCAAAGAAUAAGCACCGGCUAACUUCGUG